Canis lupus familiaris (dog) is the source of this 1010-nucleotide long non-coding RNA. RefSeq lists it as uncharacterized. The record is from RefSeq and is a predicted model, not a curated record. The transcript is spliced from 3 exons. Lineage: Eukaryota; Metazoa; Chordata; Mammalia; Carnivora; Canidae.
GGGAGGCGUGUGGGGGAGGAGGCUAAGAGGAAGUCACCAGAGGAGGGACAGAACACUGUGUCACCUGGGCUCUUGUGGCCAUGUGAGAACUUCGGCCUUUACUGUGAGAAGAGAAAUGUCGGGAGAGCUCCUGUGCCUCUGGAGUUCGAGUCCGGACUAAGGACCGCUGCCCCUGGCUGCAGUGGGGGGCGCAGGAGCGCGGAGGAUGCUGAAGCGCCCACGGCCGGGAGGAGACCAGCUGCUUGUUCUGGUGCCACUUGAACCCAACAUUUUCGAUUUUGUUCCCUGACUUGUGUGAAGCCACAGAGUCUAGACUCCCAAUGCUCCCUGCCUGCUGAGGACAAAUAACCACCACUGACUGACAACCCAUCCUCGUCUAGAAGGACGUACACUCUUAUAACCCAGCCACCAUGCUUUCAGAAGCCCAUGCAACAUGGAGAGGCCACAGGUAGGUGCUGCAGUGUCCACCCCAGCUGACCUCCCUGUUGACCACCACCAUCUGGGACCUCUAGCUCAACUGGGGCUUCAGAUGACUGCAGUCCCAUCCAACAGCUGAGUACAACUGUUUGAGCGACCCCAAGCAAGAACCACCUAGCCAAGCCUUUGCUGAAAUCCUGCCCUACAAAAACAUGAACAAAAUAAAGUGGCUCUUUUAAGCCAGUAACUGUGGGAGUAAUUUGUUAUGCAACAAUAGGGUGCUGGAUUGCUUUGAGUUAGAAAAAUAUUGGACCUGUUCCUAUACCCUAAAAUCAGGGAAGCAACUUUUUCUUAGCUCACUAGAGGCUACUCACCCAGAAAUAAAACCACCACUGAAUGCAUGUUUUUAUUCUACAUACUCUACAAGGUAGCUGAGAAACUGUCACUCCAAGAAACGCUGAUUCAGUUCACCCUGGGUGAACCAAUACCUGGUCUAAAUUCUUGCUACUCUAAGUGAGGUCUAUGGACUUGCAGUAUCUACCAACCCAGGAGCUUGUUAGAAAUGUGGAUCUACCCUGAAAAAAAAAAAAAAA